Molecule: transfer RNA, 72 nt
Filed under: Heterocephalus glaber (naked mole-rat)
Lineage: Eukaryota; Metazoa; Chordata; Mammalia; Rodentia; Bathyergidae
Rfam family: tRNA
About the family: Transfer RNA (tRNA) molecules are approximately 80 nucleotides in length.
Source: Rfam by way of RNAcentral
GGAGAUGUCGCUCAGUGGUAGAGUGUUUGCUUGGCGUGUAGGAGGCUCUGGGUUCAGUUCCCAGUGUUGCGA